UAACGUCUUAUGAAGAGAAAAGUAGCACAAGUUAGGUAAAAGAGAAUCAGUGGAUGGUGUAAACUGAUACCAAUACUUUUGUGAAUCCACCUUGGAGGAUUAUUAUGAUGAAUAAUACGGGAAACCGUUAAGUUAAAUGAGAGGAUUAUAUUUAUAUUUUAUAUAGUCAAUAAGGGUGGCAACGCGAACCAAUCGUCCCUAUG
This 203-nucleotide non-coding RNA is filed under the name Clostridiaceae bacterium BL-3. RNAcentral describes it as "T-box". It matches the Rfam family "T-box leader". Rfam says of the family: Uncharged tRNA acts as the effector for transcription antitermination of genes in the T-box leader family. T-boxes are found upstream of many aminoacyl-tRNA synthetase genes and some amino acid biosynthetic genes usually in Gram-positive bacteria. The record is from RNAcentral. Lineage: Bacteria; Bacillati; Bacillota; Clostridia; Eubacteriales; Clostridiaceae.